RNAcentral lists this ribosomal RNA (403 nucleotides) under bacterium. RNAcentral's name for it is "partial 16S ribosomal RNA". It matches the Rfam family "Bacterial small subunit ribosomal RNA", at positions 355 to 776 of the family's 1533-position model. The record is from RNAcentral.
UGGGGAAUAUUGCACAAUGGGGGAAACCCUGAUGCAGCGACGCCGCGUGAACGAAGAAGGUAUUCGUAUCGUAAAGUUCUGUCCUAUGGGAAGAUAAUGACAGUACCAUAGAAGAAAGCUCCGGCUAAAUACGUGCCAGCAGCCGCGGUAAUACGUAUGGAGCGAGCGUUGUCCAGAAUUAUUGGGCGUAAAGGGUACGCAGGCGGUUUAAUAAGUCGAAUGUUAAAGAUCGGGGCUCAACCCCGCAAAGCAUUGGAAACUGAUAAACUUGAGUAGUGGAGAGGAAAGUGGAAUUCCUAGUGUAGUGGUGAAAUACAUAGAUAUUAGGAGGAAUACCAGUAGCGAAGGCGACUUUCUGGACACAAACUGACGCUGAGGUACGAAAGCGUGGGGAGCAAACAGG